GAUGAGAACGUAGCGAAAUGCGAUAAGUAGUGUGAAUUGCAGAAUUCAGUGAAUCAUCGAAUCUUUGAACGCACAUUGCACCUCUCGGUAUUCCGGGAGGUAUGCCUGUUCGAGCGUCAUUUGUACCCUCAAGCUCUGCUUGGUGUUGGGUGUUUGUUCCGCCUCUGUGUGUGAACUCGCCUCAAAACAAUUGGCAGCCGGCGUACUUGUUUCGGAGCGCAGCACAUUUUGCGAUCCAGAUCAACGUACAGCGGCAUCCAAGAAGCCUUAUUUAACGCUCUUGACCUCGGAUCAGGUAGGGAUACCCGCUGAACUUAAGCAUAUCAAUAAGAGGAGGA
Molecule: unclassified non-coding RNA, 338 nt
Filed under: soil metagenome
Description: partial contains 5.8S ribosomal RNA, internal transcribed spacer 2, and large subunit ribosomal RNA
Rfam family: 5.8S ribosomal RNA (bases 5-119)
Source: RNAcentral